Pelobates cultripes (western spadefoot toad) is the source of this 379-nucleotide non-coding RNA. The record is from the annotation of a GenBank genome assembly. NCBI's taxonomy places the organism in Eukaryota, Metazoa, Chordata, Amphibia, Anura, Pelobatidae.
CUCCAGACUGCAGUUCAAGAACUGCGACAACAAAAUCUGCUCCACGAACAACAACUUGCCACACCGGAGGACAAACGCCGCCAAAAUAACCUGAAAAUCAGAGGCGUAGCUGACUCUGUUCCAGAGGCCGAGCUCCCACAUUGUACCAGACGGCUACUUACUGCAUUACUGACCCCAAAGGCAGCCAGAGCGAUUGCACUGGACGGAAUUGUAACGGAGCACCUUGUACUCCGACCGAGUACCCUCCGUUGAUGGAUGCUCCUAGCGCUUCCUGAGGACUCCAAACACUGCAGCAGACACCACAACCACCGUAGCUUGACUGGAGUCUCGCCAUCUUCCUUCUACCCUGGAUCAGCUUCUGUCCUCCAGGACUGUGUGG